AGCAUUAUACCGUGAAACUGCGAAUGGCUCAUUAAAUCAGUUAUCGUUUAUUUGAUAGUACCUUACUACUUGGAUACCCGUGGUAAUUCUAGAGCUAAUACAUGCUGAAAACCCCGACUUCGGAAGGGGUGUAUUUAUUAGAUAAAAAACCAAUGCCCUUCGGGGCUACUUGGUGAUUCAUAAUAACUUAACGGAUCGCAUGGCCUUGCGCCGGCGACGGUUCAUUCAAAUUUCUGCCCUAUCAACUUUCGAUGGUAAGGUAUUGGCUUACCAUGGUUUCAACGGGUAACGGGGAAUAAGGGUUCUAUUCCGGAGAGGGAGCCUGAGAAACGGCUACCACAUCCAAGGAAGGCAGCAGGCGCGCAAAUUACCCAAUCCCGACACGGGGAGGUAGUGACAAUAAAUACUGAUACAGGGCUCUUUUGGGUCUUGUAAUUGGAAUGAGUACAAUUUAAAUCCCUUAACGAGGAACAAUUGGAGGGCAAGUCUGGUGCCAGCAGCCGCGGUAAUUCCAGCUCCAAUAGCGUAUAUUAAAGUUGUUGCAGUUAAAAAGCUCGUAGUUGAACCUUGGGCCUGGCUGGCCGGUCCGCCUCACCGCGUGUACUGGUCCGGCCGGGCCUUUCCUUCUGGAGAGCCCCAUGCCCUUCACUGGGUGUGCGGGGGAACCAGGACUUUUACUUUGAAAAAAUUAGAGUGUUCAAAGCAGGCCUUUGCUCGAAUACGUUAGCAUGGAAUAAUAGAAUAGGACGUGUGGUUCUAUUUUGUUGGUUUCUAGAACCGCCGUAAUGAUUAAUAGGGAUAGUCGGGGGCAUCAGUAUUCAAUUGUCAGAGGUGAAAUUCUUAGAUUUAUUGAAGACUAACUACUGCGAAAGCAUUUGCCAAGGGAUGUUUUCAUUAAUCAGUG
RNAcentral lists this ribosomal RNA (904 nucleotides) under Angustimassarina italica. RNAcentral describes it as "SSU rRNA". It matches the Rfam family "Eukaryotic small subunit ribosomal RNA", at positions 68 to 981 of the family's 1831-position model. The record is from RNAcentral. Lineage: Eukaryota; Fungi; Ascomycota; Dothideomycetes; Pleosporales; Amorosiaceae.